GUUAUCUCCUAUUGAUUUUUCCUCCUCAAGUGAUAGCCAAUGGGGUAGCCAUUGGCUAUCACUUGCGGAGGAAAAAUCAAUAGGAGAUAACCCCCCU
Non-coding RNA from Pelobates cultripes (western spadefoot toad), 97 nucleotides. The record is from the annotation of a GenBank genome assembly. NCBI's taxonomy places the organism in Eukaryota, Metazoa, Chordata, Amphibia, Anura, Pelobatidae.